UAACGCGUGGGUAACCUGCCUCAUACAGGGGGAUAACAGUUGGAAAUGACUGCUAAUACCGCAUAAGCGCACAGUGCUGCAUGGCACAGUGUGAAAAACUCCGGUGGUAUGAGAUGGACCCGCGUCUGAUUAGCUAGUUGGUGGGGUGACGGCCUACCAAGGCGACGAUCAGUAGCCGGCCUGAGAGGGUGAACGGCCACAUUGGGACUGAGACACGGCCCAA
RNAcentral lists this ribosomal RNA (223 nucleotides) under uncultured bacterium. RNAcentral describes it as "partial 16S ribosomal RNA". It matches the Rfam family "Bacterial small subunit ribosomal RNA", at positions 111 to 334 of the family's 1533-position model. The record is from RNAcentral.